This 253-nucleotide ribosomal RNA is filed under the name uncultured bacterium. RNAcentral's name for it is "partial 16S ribosomal RNA". It matches the Rfam family "Bacterial small subunit ribosomal RNA", at positions 524 to 776 of the family's 1533-position model. The record is from RNAcentral.
GACAAAGGGGGCAAGCGUUGCUCGGAAUUACUGGGCGUAAAGGGCGCGUAGGCGGCUCGCUAAGUCGGAUGUGAAAGCCCUGGGCUUAACCCAGGAAGUGCAUUCGAAACUCCCGAACUGGAGUCCCGGAGAGGAAGGCGGAAUUCUCGGUGUAGAGGUGAAAUUCGUAGAUAUCGAGAGGAACAUCGGUGGCGAAGGCGGCCUUCUGGACGGUGACUGACGCUGAGACGCGAAAGCGUGGGGAGCAAACAGG